Homo sapiens (human) is the source of this 1653-nucleotide long non-coding RNA. Ensembl annotates it as serine protease 40A (pseudogene). Its record names the gene PRSS40A. The record is from Ensembl. NCBI's taxonomy places the organism in Eukaryota, Metazoa, Chordata, Mammalia, Primates, Hominidae.
GGGAAGCAGGGGCAGAGCGCUCAGGCCAGGGCCGGCGGGGGCACUGCGCACUGGCCGCCUCCCUCCUCUGGCCAAUCCUCCUGCCGCUGCGCGUCUAGUCCACCUCGUCCCUCUCUGCAGGUCCACUAACCCAUCUGAUUACCGGAUCCUGCUUGGGUAUGACCAGCAAAGCCAUCCCACAGAGCACAGCAAGCAGAUGACAGUGAAUAAGAUCAUGGUGCACGCUGACUAUAACGAGUUGCACCGCAUGGGGAGUGACAUCACCCUGCUGCAGCUGCACCGUCAUGUGGAAUUCAGCUCCCACAUCCUCCCCGCCUGCCUUCCGGAACCAACCACGUGGCUGGCCCCUGACAGCUCCUGCUGGAUAUCUGGUUGGGGAAUGGUCACCGAGGAUGUCUUCCUGCCUGAGCCCUUCCAACUUCAGGAGGCAGAGGUCGGUGUCAUGGACAACACUGUCUGCGGAUCCUUUUUCCAGCCCCAGUACCCCGGCCAGCCAAGCAGCAGUGACUACACCAUCCACGAGGACAUGCUGUGCGCUGGGGACCUCAUAACAGGAAAGGCCAUUUGCCGAUGCGGGGAACUGAGGCCCAGAGAGGAAGUGUAUCACCCAAGCGAGACUCCAGGGGUCCCCUCGUCUGCCCAUUAAAUGGCACCUGGUUCCUGAUGGGGCUGUCUAGUUGGAGCCUCGACUGCUGCUCACCCGUCGGUCCCAGGGUCUUCACCAGGCUCCCCUACUUCACCAACUGGAUCAGCCAGAAGAAGAGGGAGAGCACCCCUCCAGAUCCCGCCUUGGCUCCUCCUCAGGAAACACCCCCAGCCCUGGACAGCAUGACCUCUCAGGGCAUCGUCCACAAGCCCGGGCUCUGCGCAGCCCUUCUGGCUGCUCACAUGUUCCUCCUGCUGCUGAUUCUCCUGGGGAGCCUGUGAAGGGCCAGGGCCCCUGGCCUCUUACCACAAGCAUGCCCACCUCAGGCCGGCCUCCUUGCUGAGCUCUGCACACUCCUGACGUGUUUCCAUCUCUGAGCUCUCCUGUCCACCCAAGGCCACCCCUGCCUCAGGCCUGACAAACUAAAAACCACCCAAGAAGCUUCUGGCUCUGGUUUCUGGCCCACCAGAGCCAUCUCCCAUGCUCCACUGUGUCUCCAGCUCCUCAGGGAGGGAAGGUCUCCCUCCUCCCUGGGCAGGGUCCAGGCUGACCAUAUGGGAGCCAAGUCACUCUCCUUGGGAAGUUGGGUCGCGCAGACUCAGGCCCCAUUCGGGUCCUCCAGGGCAUGCAGUCUUCCAGAAAAAUGGGGCCAGGGCCUCCCCACAUGGAAGAAGCUGCCUGUCCUCCUGGAGCUGGGUGUUGUGCACCGGUCAGGGAUGAAGCGGCAUCUUCCAGGUGCGCAGGUCACAGAGGCUCUCCUCGACAGCUUGCAAGUAAACUGUGAAGGGGGCUGAGGUCUUCGGUCAGCAGUACCAGAGCUGUGUCCCAUGGGUCAGCUCUCAGCUGACUGCCCCCUGUACCCGCUGCCCUGCCCUCUCCCUGCCUCCAGAAACCCAGCCCCCAUCCCUGUGGCUUGCUCCAGCUUGUAGGGGUUGUGGCUUAGCUGACCCAGGACUUGCUGGUCCAGCACUGAGCCCAUAAACCAGACUCUGAGUUGCCCCUGUAAA